UCAUAAUGUCUUUCUUUCUAACUGCAUCUACCCUUAUCAUUUUUGUUGCUAUGAACGGGUAUAGGGUCAAGUGCAAACAACCAACAAUUUAAAUAAUAAAGAAAUACACAGUCUGACCAAUAUCCACUUAUAUAAUUGCAUUUUGGCAUUUCUAAACUAAAUCAACGGUUACAGUCAUACGCCUUAAAACCAUAGCUAAUAUCAGCAAUUAAUUGCAGUUAAACAGCGUGAUUAUGUAAAAAAAAAAAAAGACAAUUAGA
Molecule: long non-coding RNA, 260 nt
Organism: Etheostoma cragini (Arkansas darter)
Lineage: Eukaryota; Metazoa; Chordata; Actinopteri; Perciformes; Percidae
Exons: 2
Source: RefSeq, a predicted model, not a curated record